CCUUACUUAAUCGCCAUAUUUCGUUUGCUUUUCGCAUAUCUGAGACUAGCGUUUUUAAUCUUCCGUUUGUUUCCGUAUGAGACUUUGUUUUCUGUGGUUGCAUCGCUUCGUCGUCUCUCUUUUUUUUUUCAAAUUAUUAAGCAUGUUGCUUUGUUGUUCACAAAUUAGCCGUCAAAGUUGUUUGCUUGAAAACAAAUUAAGGGUUAGAAGUUUCUACCGGUUUUUAAUUCGGUCGGAACUUCUUCUGGGCUGAUCUAAUCUAACGUUUCCCGUUUCAGGGAACGGUGCUUUUGGAAAUUUGGGGCUUUCGUCUCCAACCUUGGAACCCCUUCGUGUUGAAGGAAACGUUGGUCUUCGAAUAUUGGGGUUUUUGUGUGCAAGCUUGCAAGGAUGCAAGCCCUUUGUGAUCAACUUCCAUGGGAUCCUGCCCUAUGUUGUUACUUCGCGGUUACCUCCAUUGGGUUAAAAAAACCACAGACGCAAUAAGUUGCAAUUUCAAUCCUACUCCUAGAUCGACUAAUUUCUCAGACGGCCACUGACUAGAGCUUGACAUUCAGAUUCAAUGGCUAGAUUGGCAACAAAUUUAUUGGGAAAUGCAUCUUCAAAGGUAUGCCUCUGGAGCAAAGUUAAAGGUAAGAGAUUAUUUUGUUAGCUUUGAUAAAAUUAUUUGUCAGCCAUUUUAGUUUUUAGCAAUUAUGAGAUUAUUUCUUAUUGAAUAUUAGUUGGCUUAAACUUUCUUACGUCUUAACUAUCAAUGUACAAACGUAACAAUCAUUUACAUAAAAUUCACAAAUUGUAGUGUCAAUUUGAAGUUAACGUAAUGAUCUUUGAAAAUGUCAAAACUCACAUUGACAUAAACCUUUUGCAUAUUUGUAAAAUCUCUUGAGAUCACCUUCCAACUUAAAAUUAAACUUAUAUUUAGCAAAUUUUAUGUAUCAGUACUAAAAUUUUCAAUACGAAACGAAACUGCAUGACUUAUAUAUUGAAGACACUGAAGUUGGGGUAAGUCAUCAUAUCACUCUCAAAAAUUUUUAUUACUUUAGUGAUUGCAAAUUUGGUUCACACUGGAAACUAUUAAUAUUCAAUGGUUUUUUAAAUUAUCGACCCAACCAAAGUGGGUUCCUGUAUUAUGUAUUUGACAAAUAGAAUUGUAAUCUUAUGUAUAUAAUUAACUAAUAAUAUGAUUUUUUUUUAUUGUUCUGGUGGUAUUAUGUAGUUGUUGUGAUUAGAGAGCUAUUUUGCUCCUUAUUUUGUACCUUAAUGUCCAACUUUUUACAUGUUUUACACUAUUAGAACCCGCAGCAACGCGCGGGCAUUAUGACUAGUUCCAUCUAAAAUCGCCUGCAACUCGACUUGAAGAGGGGAAGCAGCAAAGAAAUGCCUUGCUAGACCUAGACCUAGACCAUCAACCAACCUCCCUCUGUGGUCUCUAAUGACAACUCCAUACCCUGCCUCCUCGGAGGCUUUAUCCCAUGCACCAUCACAAUUUACUUUGAGAAAACCAGCUGGGGUAGGAGACCAUGCCGAAUGGGGAGAAAGUGGGAUGUGGGAGAAAUCACCAAGCAAUAGUAAACACGCAGAUGAAAACAAGGAAUUGCGACAAGGGUGACCGUGAGUUUCUGAGUUACCACGCAUAUGGGCACAAGGUGUCUACGUUAUGCAGAGAAAAAAUGGAGAGCAAGACUCAUAAAACACAGCAAGAUUAAAGAUUAAGAAACAAAUGCUUGUUAUUGCGUUAUGCCAUUUCUAGCUCUCCUAACCAUCCGUCUGGUCACAUAACCACUCAACAAACAUACAUUCACAACAACACAGUAAAUCACAAUUUAUACUUGCACAAGAUUUUUCAAUUGGACCAAACAUAACCCAAACAAAUGUCUAAAAAUAAAAAAUAUAAAUUUCACAAGAACACAGUAAAUCAUAAUUCAUACAAUUUCGAAAGAUUUGGAUUGAACAUCAAAUUAACCCAUAGCCAAAGGCAUUCUCUACAGAGGUUUAUGCAGUCAAACACAAAAAAAAUCACAAAAACACAGUAAAUCUGAGAAGAUUGACUGAAAUUAUAGAGUAUUACCUUCAAUGAUUGCUUGCGAAUGUAGAGAACGAAUCCAAUUCCGAAAUCUGGUGACGGAUCCCUUGCUUCCAAUUCAAUUUGAUUCAAAUGAUCUGCAUCAAAAAAAUAUGAUUAGUGCUUUUAAUAUUCAUAUCAUGAAUUAAGCUCCACAAUUGGAUUGAAAUUCGAAGAAAAAUGACCGGAAAUUACCUCACUGCCUUCAAUUUCUUUUGUUUCUUGAUUUCGAAAAUCAAGCGGGAAGAACGAAGGAACGCGAGGAAUGUUCUGCAUCAAUAAAUCAUAGUUAGGGCUUCGACAUUCAUACUAUAAAUUGAGCUACACAAUUGGAUUGAAAUUCAAAGAGAAAUGGCUAGAAAUUACCUCGUUGCCUUCGAUUUCUUUCGUUUCUUGAGAUAAAGGCCCUGUGACCCGAUCUAUAAAAGACAGACGAGUUCAAUUUUCGUCGCAUUCCUCGUGUUCCUUCGUUCUUUCCGCUCGAUUUUCAAAAUCAAGAAACGAAAGAAAUCGGAGGCGUCGAGGUAAUUUCCGACCAUUUCUCUUUGAAUUUCAAUCCAAUUGUGUAGCUCAAUUUAUAGUAUGAAUGUCGAAGCCCUAACUAUGAUUUAUUGAUGCAGAUCAUUCCUCGCGUUCCUUCGUUCUUCCCGCUCCAUUUUCUAAAUCAAGAAACGAAAGAAAUCAGAGGCGGCGAGGUAAUUUCCGGCCAUUUCUCUUUGAAUUUCAAUCCAAUUGUGUAGCUCAAUUUAUAGUAUGAAUAUCAAAGCCCUAAGUAUGAUUUAUUGAUGCAAAUCAUUUGAAUUGAAUUGGAAGCGAGGGAUCUGUAGCUAGAUUUUGGAAGUGGAAUCAGCUUCGUUCUCAACACUCGCAAGCAAUCGUCGAAGGUACUAGUUUGGAUUUCAGUCAAUUUUCUCGAAUUUACCUUUGUAGAAAAUGCCUUUGGCUGUGGGUUAAUUUGAUCUUCGUUCCAAAUUUUUUGAAAAAGCAUAGAUUCUAAUUGACCCUGUGCUGUGAAUUUUUAUCGUUAUUUAUUAAUUUUGACAUUUGUUUGGGUCAUGUUUGUUCCAAUUGAAAAUCUUGUGUGAGUAGAGUUUGUGAUUUACUGUGUUGUUGUGAAUGUAUGUUUGUUGAGUUGUUAUGUGGCUAGACAGAAGGCUAGGAGACCCCAAGAGUAGGAGAGCUAGAUAUUGCAUAACGCGGUAAAUGUAUAUUUGUUUUUUAGUCUUGAUCUUGAAUCUUGCUGUGUUUUUUGAGUCUUGCUCUCCAUUUUUCUCUCCCUUGCAUAGUGCCCGCCUGUGUGAUAUUUGAGAAACUCGCGGUCACCCCUGUUGCAAUUCCUUGCUUGCUACUUCCACAACUACCAACCAACCUCACGAUUCACAUAAUCUUUUAUUUCUGUAUGGAUCCCAAAACUUUUGACCCGCACAGAUUUUAUCCAACCCCAAUUCCACAAUCAAAGCAGGAAAAUAAAAUUAAAUGGAAAAUCGGUUAUCUUUUCUCCCAGAUAUCAGUAUCUCAGUCUGAAAUGGUGUGGUUUGGCAGUAGCAGGGCAUACAAACCAAACCCCCGGUCUAUCACCUCUCUGGACUGCUAUAUUUUAGAAACCAGGUAAGUAAAGUAUGUCAUUAGUUCAUGUAAAACCAUGCAUUAACACAGGCAAAACCCUAAUUAAUAACAAAGGUUCCCAGAUUACUAAUUGUGCAAGAAAAACUAUCAUACCUGGAGCAGCCAUUUGUUGAGACUGAAAAUGGAAUUCUUCUACUUGUUAAAGACCUUAAGUUUCAAACGUGGUAGAACCCUAGUUUGUUCAGAACAUCUUCUUUGCGAGCAGGGAAUUCAAUUACAUAGGCAUAACCUUUAUCAACUUCCAUCUAUCAUGGGGAUUGGUUUCAAGCAUUAUGAGUAGUUAGUGGAUCGUCGGCUAUUUCUUUCUGUCAAAGACAUCCGCAUCUCCUUGUUUGUAAGAAGCGGUCCACCUUUACAACUCUUAAAUCAGUUUGUGCACCAUGAUAACUACAUUUCAUCCAUAUCAUGUUAGUCAAGUCCAAUUAGGUUCCUAACAGUAUAGACAUCAAGAAACUCAUGAUUUACUGCUAAUGAGAGGGGAUGGAUUCUAUCUAACUGGGCUUUCACCCUUUGGCACGUAUGGACAAGAUGCUCCUUCGUUUACUAUUGAUUGGUAACUUCUCCCCCAUCCCACUUUCUCUCCAUUCGGCAUGUGCUCCUUUCCUAUCUGGUUUUCUCAAAGAAAACUGUGAUAGUGCAUGAGAUAAAGCCUCCCAGGAGCAGGGUCUGGAGUUGUCAUUAGAGACCACAGAGGAUCAGUGACUUUUGGAUCUGAUUCUAAGCCAUCAUUUGAGUUGGUCAAGAGCAUGAAUGGCCUCUCAAACGGGCAGGUUUACUUCUUCUCGGGGAGAUUGGCAAGUUCAAGACAUCAUUUUUCAUUACUUCGCUGGUUUUUCUUGCCUCUAUGAAUCUUGCUGUGUUUGAAGUUGGUUAUUUGUUUUGCAGCCUCGAGACAACAGAACUCCAAAUGGAACGACUAUGAUUCUGCAACAUUGUUUCCUAUAUCACAUAGGCAUCCCAUGUACAUGCCUCCUGGCAAUAGAGUCAUCUGGUAACCUCCGUUCAAAGUAAUCAAGUUGUCCGACUUGAUUCCCUCCAAGGCACAUUAGUGGUAACGUCACCCAAAGUGGAGGUGGUGCUGAUGCCCCGACAUGAUUUAUGAAGGGGUGUGAUAUCCACACAUUCUAUAUUACUUAUCAUACACCUUCUUAAUUUUCGGCCGUCGAAUCGGAAGAAUUGAAGAAGAUCAACGGAUAUAAAUUAUCAAGGGAUAGUGAGAAGUAAAAUGAGGUGUGUGAAUAGCACACCUCUUCAUGAAUGAUGGGAAGUGAAAUGAGGAAGAAAAGACUGAAACUUAGCAAAAUAUAAACCAAAAUUAACAGGUGUACUUACGUUUAUUGAAUAAUGAGUUCUUUGAUUCUUUGCACUUUUAUCAAUCAAGCAUUUCGAUUUUACGUUCCAUGUUCUUUCAAGAGUGAUUUUCUUGGAGGGGAAGGACUGAAUAACUUGGCCCCUACCAUCCAUCUCAAGUGUUGCUACUGUAUCAGCUUCAGCCAUUGUUGAUUCAUAAAGGGUAUGAUAUUCACACAUCAUAUUUUACUUCUCUCA
Molecule: non-coding RNA, 5236 nt
Organism: Malus domestica (apple)
Lineage: Eukaryota; Viridiplantae; Streptophyta; Magnoliopsida; Rosales; Rosaceae
Source: RefSeq, a predicted model, not a curated record